GAUGAACGCUGGCGGCGUACCUAACGCAUGCAAGUCGAACGGACAUUCAAGGAGCAAUCUGCGGAUGUUAGUGGCAAACGGGUGAGUAACACGUAGGCAAUCUACCUUGGAGAGGGGAAUAACGAGCCGAAAGGUUCGCUAAUACCGCAUACGGUCGGUCACGAACGCAAGUUCGUGCGACGAAAGGGGCGAUCUUCGGAUGCGUCACUCUAAGCGGAGCCUGCGAUCGAUCAGGUAGUUGGUGAGGUAACGGCUCACCAAGGCGACGAUCAGUAGCUGGUCUGAGAGGAUGAUCAGCCACAUUGGGACUGAGACACGGCCCAAACUCCUACGGGAGGCAGCAGUGGGGAAUAUUGGACAAUGGCGCAAGCCUGAUCCAGCCAUGCCGCGUGAGUGAUGAAGGCCUUAGGGUCGUAAAGCUCUUUUGUGCGGGAAGAUAAUGACUGUACCGCAAAGAAUAAGCCCCGGCUAACUUCGUGCCAGC
This 484-nucleotide ribosomal RNA is filed under the name uncultured bacterium. RNAcentral's name for it is "bacterial SSU rRNA". It matches the Rfam family "Bacterial small subunit ribosomal RNA", at positions 28 to 512 of the family's 1533-position model. The record is from RNAcentral.